This 497-nucleotide ribosomal RNA is filed under the name uncultured bacterium. Its description in RNAcentral is "partial 16S ribosomal RNA". It matches the Rfam family "Bacterial small subunit ribosomal RNA", at positions 28 to 507 of the family's 1533-position model. The record is from RNAcentral.
GAUGAACGCUGGCGGCGUGCCUAAUACAUGCAAGUCGAGCGAACAGAUGAGGAGCUUGCUCCUCUCACGUUAGCGGCGGACGGGUGAGUAACACGUGGAUAACCUACCUAUAAGACUGGGAUAACUUCGGGAAACCGGAGCUAAUACCGGAUAAUAUCUUGAACCGCAUGGUUCAAUAGUGAAAGACGGUUUUGCUGUCACUUAUAGAUGGAUCCGCGCCGCAUUAGCUAGUUGGUACGGUAACGGCUUAUCAAGGCAACGAUGCGUAGCCGACCUGAGGGGGUGAUCGGCCACACUGGAGGGUGGACAGGGUCAAGACUACUACGGGAGGCAGCAGUAGGGUAUGUGCCGCAGUGGGCGAAAGCCUGGCGGAGCAACGCCGCGUGAGAGAUGAAGGUCUUCGGAUCGUAAAACUCUGUUAUUAGGGAAGAACAAAUGUGUAAGUAACUAUGCACGUCUUGACGGUACCUAGUCAGAAAGCCACGGCUAACUACGUG